GGAGUCCAGAAGAUCGAAUCAGAGGUGGAGUACUUGAAGAAGAGGUUAAAAGAGAGAAAGAUAAAUCACAAGCUUCGCUGGGGUAAAUUUAUAGAUCAAAAAAUUUUACUCAAACAUGCUGAAAGCAGGAGAAAUCGGCUAGAGAAUGAAGGGGCUAAGAUCAUAGCCCAAGCUUGCAAAGCGGCAUUCUUCGCGGGCUUUGAGAAGUGUAAGUCCAUUGUCCUGGUGCAUCUUCCUCCUGACUUCAUCAAGCAUCUUUAAAUUGAUUUUCUAGAUAAAGAUUUAUAGGCGGUGUCGUCGGAUAGCUGAUCGAGGUUUAUAACGACGUCCUAUUUUCUAGACGAGGUGGAUAAGAUUGACACAGUUGUUCCGAUCGAAGAUAUUGUCGG
Molecule: long non-coding RNA, 389 nt
Filed under: Elaeis guineensis (African oil palm)
Lineage: Eukaryota; Viridiplantae; Streptophyta; Magnoliopsida; Arecales; Arecaceae
Description: long non-coding RNA (EGUI_LNC009743)
Source: RNAcentral